UGUGCACGUUAGGGUUGCAAAUCCACACACCUGUGCAUCCUUGACUCUAAAUGCCCUUGCCCUCAGUUUGAGGGAGCCUGAUUUGCAAUCAAUCUGGCAUUAGAGUAUUCUUCACACUCCGAAUGUAAAGGAAUGUCUAUGCAUAACAUGCAAAUGAAACAACUUUCAACAACGGAUCUCUUGGCUCUCGCAUCGAUGAAGAACGCAGCGAAAUGCGAUAAGUAAUGUGAAUUGCAGAAUUCAGUGAAUCAUCGAAUCUUUGAACGCACCUUGCACCCUUUGGUAGCCCAAAGGGUACACCCGUUUGAGUGUCAUUGUAAUCUCACUCAUCUGACUUUUGUCAGCAUGUUGUGGAGUUGGAUGCUGCUGUGCUGUAACAGCUCAUCUGAAAUUUCUGAGUGCAUCCUGUAUUGCGAUGUGUUUGGUGUGAUAAAUCUUCACCAUAAUUGACUCUCUGGGUCACACUCGCUUGUUGCAUGGCUCUGUACUUCCAAACAUCCCCAAAGGGAUAAUAGUUGACAAUUUGACCUCA
Molecule: ribosomal RNA, 532 nt
Filed under: uncultured fungus
Lineage: Eukaryota; Fungi
Description: eukaryotic LSU rRNA
Rfam family: 5.8S ribosomal RNA (bases 161-314)
Source: RNAcentral